GCCGACGUGGCUCAGUGGUAGAGCAGCUGUCUCGUAAACAGCAGGUCAGGGGUUCAAAUCCCCUCUUCGGCU
RNAcentral lists this transfer RNA (72 nucleotides) under Candidatus Sericytochromatia bacterium. Its description in RNAcentral is "tRNA-Thr". It matches the Rfam family "tRNA". From Rfam's summary of the family: Transfer RNA (tRNA) molecules are approximately 80 nucleotides in length. Their secondary structure includes four short double-helical elements and three loops (D, anti-codon, and T loops). Further hydrogen bonds mediate the characteristic L-shaped molecular structure. tRNAs have two regions of fundamental functional importance: the anti-codon, which is responsible for specific mRNA codon recognition, and the 3' end, to which the tRNAs corresponding amino acid is attached (by aminoacyl-tRNA synthetases). tRNAs cope with the degeneracy of the genetic code in two manners: having more than one tRNA (with a specific anti-codon) for a particular amino acid; and 'wobble' base-pairing, i.e. permitting non-standard base-pairing at the 3rd anti-codon position. Lineage: Bacteria; Bacillati; Candidatus Sericytochromatia. The record is from RNAcentral.